CUACGGAGGGUGCAAGCGUUACUGGGAAUCACUGGGCGUAAAGCGCGCGCAGGCGGCUAUUUAAGUCGGAUGUGAAAGCCUACGGCUCAACCGUAGAACUGCAUCCAAAACUAUUUAGCUAGAGUGUGGGAGAGGAAGAUGGAAUUAGUUGUGUAGGGGUAAAAUCCGUAGAGAUAACUAGGAAUACCAAAAGCGAAGGCAAUCUUCUGGAACACUACUGACGCUGAGGCGCGAAAGCGUGGGGAGCAAACGGGAUUAGAUACCCCAGUAGUCC
This 274-nucleotide ribosomal RNA is filed under the name uncultured bacterium. RNAcentral's name for it is "partial 16S ribosomal RNA". It matches the Rfam family "Bacterial small subunit ribosomal RNA", at positions 523 to 796 of the family's 1533-position model. The record is from RNAcentral.